GACAGAGGGUGCAAACGUUGUUCGGAAUUACUGGGCGUAAAGCGCGUGUAGGCUGCUCAGAAAGUCGGAUGUGAAAGCCCUGGGCUUAACCUAGGAAGUGCAUUCGAAACUUCUGAGCUUGAGUUCUGGAGAGGAAGGCGGAAUUCCCGGUGUAGAGGUGAAAUUCGUAGAUAUCGGGAGGAACACCUGUGGCGAAGGCGGCCGUCUGGACGAUUACUGACACUGAGACGCGAAAGCGUGGGGAGCAAACAGG
This 253-nucleotide ribosomal RNA is filed under the name uncultured bacterium. RNAcentral describes it as "partial 16S ribosomal RNA". It matches the Rfam family "Bacterial small subunit ribosomal RNA", at positions 524 to 776 of the family's 1533-position model. The record is from RNAcentral.